GAUGAACGCUGGCGGCGUGCUUAACACAUGCAAGUCGAACGGAAAGGCCCAAGCUUGCUUGGGUACUCGAGUGGCGAACGGGUGAGUAACACGUGGGUGAUCUGCCCUGCACUUCGGGAUAAGCCUGGGAAACUGGGUCUAAUACCGGAUAGGACCACAUUUUGGAUGGUGUGGUGGAAAGGUUUUCGGUGUGGGAUGAGCUCGCGGCCUAUCAGCUUGUUGGUGGGGUAAUGGCCUACCAAGGCGUCGACGGGUAGCCGGCCUGAGAGGGUGUACGGCCACAUUGGGACUGAGAUACGGCCCAGACUCCUACGGGAGGCAGCAGUGGGGAAUAUUGCACAAUGGGCGCAAGCCUGAUGCAGCGACGCCGCGUGGGGGAUGACGGCCUUCGGGUUGUAAACUCCUUUCGCUAGGGACGAAGCGCAAGUGACGGUACCUGGAGAAGAAGCACCGGCUAACUACGUG
This 465-nucleotide ribosomal RNA is filed under the name uncultured bacterium. RNAcentral describes it as "partial 16S ribosomal RNA". It matches the Rfam family "Bacterial small subunit ribosomal RNA", at positions 28 to 507 of the family's 1533-position model. The record is from RNAcentral.